RNAcentral lists this ribosomal RNA (38 nucleotides) under Koenigia phytolaccifolia. Its description in RNAcentral is "partial 26S ribosomal RNA". Lineage: Eukaryota; Viridiplantae; Streptophyta; Magnoliopsida; Caryophyllales; Polygonaceae. The record is from RNAcentral.
GCGACCCCAGGUCAGGCGGGACUACCGGCUGAGUUUAA